Styela clava is the source of this 1121-nucleotide non-coding RNA. The record is from RefSeq and is a predicted model, not a curated record. Lineage: Eukaryota; Metazoa; Chordata; Ascidiacea; Stolidobranchia; Styelidae.
CAACUUAUCCUGAACGAAGAAGACUUCAAACCAUCUCAUGCUAUCAUCAAAAACCUUUGUCAACUGUUUAGUACAGUAGAGGAAUCUAUUUACCUUAAUGGUUGGGAAAUUGACCAACAAGGUAUUGAUGCCCUACAAUCGGAUUUAAUAAUGUUAAACAAAAAACUGAGAAUUCGCAUUAACGGUGUUUAUCUAUCAGCAUCCACCGAUCAGCAAGGCUAAUCUUCACGAAUUCAAAAGAAACUCAAUUAGACGUAUUUUCAAAUAAGGAAGAAACUGAGAAUAAAACACGGAUGGUGAAGUGUUGUCCCAAAUUGAAUUGAUUAUUCGGUGCUCCUGAAGUAUGUGUAACAAGAUGGCGCACAGCCUGAACAUAGUAUGUGAACCAGGUUAGGAUUCAUGUUGUACGUCAUCGUGAUACGAAUACUUCCUGAGCGCCGAUUAUUGAGCACAUAGUCGUGUAUUCGUUGAAUCACGUUGGGUUCAAGAUAUUUAGGUAUAGUCUAAUUUUGAUUCGUUGCUUAUAUUCGUUACUCCGUGAUUUGUGGUAUUACUUGUCAAAAAUGAUAUACUGUCAAAUACCGCAAGAAAUAUUUAAUUAUAUUUUGAAAGGAAUUUUGAAAGUUUCGAUAAUUUGCUUAUUUUAAAAUUAUGCGACAUUGUGGCGGUACAUGUAUAUCAUUCAUUCAUUUUUUUUAUUCAUUAAUUUUUGUCAUAUGGUUUAUUUAUCACUAAUAUUAUCACUAAUAUUCAAUAUUUAAUACAUGUAGUUCUAAAUUGUAGUUUUGUUUAGUAAACAAAAUUUCAAAUGUUACGCAAAUGGUUUAUGAGUAUAAUAAUUUAUUCUAAUAUUCUGUGGAUUGAUAACAAAUGCAAAACAAUGCCAAAAUUUUACUACUUAUCCAUACUUUGUUUUCCGAAGAAAUGAACACUCUAUGACGAGUACCUAAAUUGCAAAUCGAAAGUUAAAUGUGUAUACUCACUUUUAAGACACCGUGUAUAUAUAAACUCUGCUUGAAUUUUUUGUAUAUUUAAUUUGCAUGCUGAUGUUAAAAUAGCUUGGUCAAUGAUUUAUUUUAACAAAAUGAGUAGUAAAAAAUUUUUGAAAUACAAACUAAGCA